ACUCCUACGGGAGGCAGCAGUGGGGAAUAUUGCACAAUGGGGGAAACCCUGAUGCAGCGACGCCGCGUGGAGGAAGAAGGUCUUCGGAUUGUAAACUCCUGUUGUUGGGGAAGAUAAUGACGGUACCCAACAAGGAAGUGACGGCUAACUACGUGCCAGCAGCCGCGGUAAAACGUAGGUCACAAGCGUUGUCCGGAAUUACUGGGUGUAAAGGGAGCGCAGGCGGGAAGACAAGUUGGAAGUGAAAUCUAUGGGCUCAACCCAUAAACUGCUUUCAAAACUGUUUUUCUUGAGUAGUGCAGAGGUAGGCGGAAUUCCCGGUGUAGCGGUGGAAUGCGUAGAUAUCGGGAGGAACACCAGUGGCGAAGGCGGCCUACUGGGCACCAACUGACGCUGAGGCUCGAAAGUGUGGGUAG
This 416-nucleotide ribosomal RNA is filed under the name uncultured bacterium. Its description in RNAcentral is "bacterial SSU rRNA". It matches the Rfam family "Bacterial small subunit ribosomal RNA", at positions 335 to 768 of the family's 1533-position model. The record is from RNAcentral.